Molecule: transfer RNA, 71 nt
Filed under: bacterium
Lineage: Bacteria
Description: tRNA-Ala
Rfam family: tRNA
About the family: Transfer RNA (tRNA) molecules are approximately 80 nucleotides in length. Their secondary structure includes four short double-helical elements and three loops (D, anti-codon, and T loops). Further hydrogen bonds mediate the characteristic L-shaped molecular structure. tRNAs have two regions of fundamental functional importance: the anti-codon, which is responsible for specific mRNA codon recognition, and the 3' end, to which the tRNAs corresponding amino acid is attached (by aminoacyl-tRNA synthetases). tRNAs cope with the degeneracy of the genetic code in two manners: having more than one tRNA (with a specific anti-codon) for a particular amino acid; and 'wobble' base-pairing, i.e. permitting non-standard base-pairing at the 3rd anti-codon position.
Source: RNAcentral
GGGCCUAUAGUUAAGUGGCAGAACACCGCUUUUGCAAAGCGGAGACGGCAGUUCGAUUCUGCCUAGGUCCA